Molecule: ribosomal RNA, 253 nt
Filed under: uncultured Adhaeribacter sp.
Lineage: Bacteria; Pseudomonadati; Bacteroidota; Cytophagia; Cytophagales; Hymenobacteraceae
Description: partial 16S ribosomal RNA
Rfam family: Bacterial small subunit ribosomal RNA
Source: RNAcentral
UACGGAGGAUCCAAGCGUUAUCCGGAUUUAUUGGGUUUAAAGGGUGCGUAGGCGGCCCGGUAAGUCAGUGGUGAAAGCCUCCAGCUCAACUGGAGAACUGCCAUUGAUACUGUCGGGCUUGAGUACAGACGAGGUUGGCGGAAUUGAUUGUGUAGCGGUGAAAUGCAUAGAUACAAUCAAGAACUCCGAUUGCGUAGGCAGCUAACUAGGCUGUAACUGACGCUGAGGCACGAAAGCGUGGGGAGCGAACAGG